GCUACGCAGAUGCAGAGGGCGAAAGCAGACUACUGAGGGAGACGCUUCUUUUUAGAUCGUUCUGCUUCUCGGGCUGAUUCUUCUCGCGACCGCAGACUGGACGCGUAUGGGUGCGCCUCAUUCCUUGUGUGCCUCACCAUGAGCGACGCUUUCGAGACCCGUAUGAGCGCGAUGCGAGCUCGCCUGUCGAGCCUAUGCCACACCGUCGAAGAACGGGAAGAGGAACAGCAGCAGCAGCGUCGCGUUUUCGAGCAUCGCUACUUUAUGGAGGCGAGAGCAGUAGGCUCUUCGGCGGCACCCGCGGCCACAAAGCCGAUAGCUUCCACGUCUACACCGCCAUCGUCGGCGCCUAUCUCAAGGCCAGUCACGAGCAAGAGUCAAGUGCCGCGCACAGAUGGUAUCAGCGAACGCGACGUGAAUCAAGUGCACAGCGCCCCAAGAAAGGAUGCUGCUUUUGGUCACCACUUCGACACGAGCAGCCCGCCAGCCUUCAUCACACGCACCUGUGCAGCGAAGCCUGGACCUGGAGUGAAUGCGAUGCUGCAGCUUGCACGGCACCACGCUUCCGGCUCCUUGUCAGAGGCUGGCGUAACAAACGACAUCGUACGCUUCAGGGGUGGUCUGCCAAGCUCGGUGCCCAAAGCCCCUGCCACGGUUUCCCCCGGAGCCUUCGCUGUCAACGCAGGACAAGAUAACAUGGAUUCUUCGCCCGUUCCAUUCAUGGCGUGUGGCGUUGCCGGUUCGCAUUCGUGUGGGUUUCCAGAGCGGUUUCCAAGCCCUCGCCGACCCACGGCGUCACUCGCCGCGAACACGGUGAAUCUGACCCCCCGCAAUGGCGAAGGAUGCACGCCACAGAACACUCCUCGCGAGGAGUCGCGCAUCACAGCAGCCGACGCCACGAUCGUUGGCACGAUGCUUGCCGAUGAGGCGACCUCUUUUGAUGCCUUCCGCGUCGUACAGGAGCGGUUGCGGCAGAAGAUGAUGCAGCUCACGACUUCCUCUCCUCACUCCGUCGUGCCGUUAUCAACGAGAGGGGCUCCCGCCGAGUCUGCCGUGAGUGAUGACGCAACAGCGCCCCGGGAAGAGCUUCCUCACAGAGGCCUCACCGAGUCUCGUGCGGUGAGUGAUGCUGACGAUUCAAGUCCUUCACCUCGGCCACCACCGGGCACGCGCGCUGAAACGGCCACCCCGACGCGCUCGCCGGGCGAGGAUGACUCUUUCUCGCACGACACUGCCCCACUCCCACCGACAUCGUCGUGGUGCCAGCAUGAUCAAGGUGACUCCUCGGUGGAUGUGGAAGUGCUCCCGGCGGCCGCGGAGCCUGCCACCGAAAAUGCGAGCGAGACUCGGCUCUUUACUCAUGGGUUUCUACAUGACUCUGUAGCAGGCGACGGCGACGAGACGACGGCGGUGUCGCGCGAAUGGCAGUGGUCGCGGUGCGGCGCGCAAUCCACCAAAGCAGGCACGGCGAAUGCGCCGCGUGGCGUCUUCCGCGACCCGACCGCUCAUCACCUCAGGACCUCACGGAUGCCGUCAAGCGAUGCGCACUUCGACCCAACCGCCGGGGAACAGCGGGUGAGCUCGCGCGAGUACCGUCGGUCACCUGAGGCAGCGAUGGCAGGGCGCGUACAAGGUGAUCGAGGGAGGAGUGGGCGGACGACUGCAUCGAGUCAGCAUCGUGUCUCCUCAGCGCCGCGACGCUCCGGGUCUCGGCACGCGCCGUCGUCAACAUCAGCGGCGCGCUGGCCUGCGACGCGGGAGGGGAGUACGUCCACGGCUGCCAGGUCACGCAAGUCAGCGCCGAAGGCAGCUGCACGACCAAAGCCGAUUUCUCUGAACGUGGAGGCUACUAUUCUCUGCCCCGUCACCGGUGCGGAGCUGUUUGCCCUUCUGCGAAUGCGCGGGCUCAUCGACUCUGAGGGCGACACGGAGGAGUACCGGCUCCCACCUGUGCGCUGCCACCGCUUGUACGUGACAGCCGAGGAGCACCGCCAGCUGAAACUGCUUCGGCAGUCCUUACACUCCCUGGUCGCCGAGGAGCAGCGCCAGGACAUCCCAUCCUAUCAGCGCGUCACGGUCUCUGCGCGGUCACGAAACGCCGAGUUCGCACCCCCGCCACCGGUGCUUCGCUUCAUGGAUGUGUAAGCGAAAACGCAGCUGUUUCUUGUGCCUCUUGGCCUCCUGGGCUUGUCAUUCAGUGCUUUUCAUAGACGUCCUCCUUUGCUUCAUGAUGUCAGGAGGACACCAUCGCCGUGUCUUUUAUCACGCCGCUCGCGCCGUGCCGGCAAUGCUGUCGUGUGGCGUGCAUCUUCGCCCCGCCGCCGCUGGACGUUCGCGCUGUGUGUGUUCUUCUUUUACUGUUGUUUUGGAUAAAUAGAUCCGCAUUCACUUUUGGUGCCCACCGUUUCCUUUUCUUUUUUUGGGUGGGGGGUGGGGGGAGGGAGCGGGGGGAGGGUCGCAACGACGACGGCGUCCGCCCCCCCCCCCCCUCCUCCUCCCCGGCCCGUCCCCUAGAGACCAAAGCGGGCACGCGUCGGUACCCUUUGCCGUAGGCACCGACGCCCGCACGCGAUGAGAGACGGAGCUGUGCGUUUUUGUAGUCUUGCG
This 2607-nucleotide unclassified non-coding RNA is filed under the name Leishmania donovani. RNAcentral describes it as "gene:LdHU3.32.2130(CDS-product:hypothetical_prote in_conserved)". The record is from RNAcentral. Lineage: Eukaryota; Euglenozoa; Kinetoplastea; Trypanosomatida; Trypanosomatidae.